ACGGGAGGCAGCAGUGGGGAAUAUUGCACAAUGGGGGAAACCCUGAUGCAGCAACGCCGCGUGAGUGAAGAAGUAUUUCGGUAUGUAAAGCUCUAUCAGCAGGGAAGAUAAUGACGGUACCUGACUAAGAAGCACCGGCUAAAUACGUGCCAGCAGCCGCGGUAAUACGUAUGGUGCAAGCGUUAUCCGGAUUUACUGGGUGUAAAGGGUGCGUAGGUGGCAUGGUAAGUCAGAUGUGAAAUACCGGGGCUCAACCCCGGGGCUGCAUUUGAAACUGCCAGGUUGGAGUACAGGAGAGGCAAGCGGAAUUCCUAGUGUAGCGGUGAAAUGCGCAGAUAUUAGGAGGAACACCAGUGGCGAAGGCGGCUUGCUGGACUGUUACUGACACUGAGGCACGAAAGCGUGGGGAGCAAACAGGAUUAGAUACCCUGGUA
RNAcentral lists this ribosomal RNA (434 nucleotides) under uncultured Lachnospiraceae bacterium. RNAcentral's name for it is "bacterial SSU rRNA". It matches the Rfam family "Bacterial small subunit ribosomal RNA", at positions 341 to 792 of the family's 1533-position model. Lineage: Bacteria; Bacillati; Bacillota; Clostridia; Lachnospirales; Lachnospiraceae. The record is from RNAcentral.